UCUGUUUCUUCACAUAUCCGUCUGAAUAGACCAGUCUGCCUCGGAACCGAUUUCCCGUCAAGGUACAAUGAACCAGGUGACGUAUAACCUAUUCACGGAUUGCCCCGGUGAUCAGCUUUCGAAUGAAUCUAACCACCUCUCAAUCAGAUACAUCUGCUGAGAGUUAAACUAUAAUCCGUCGGAAUAGUCCAGCUCGCCUAGGGGCCGAUUUCCCAACAAAUCACAGAGAAUCUCAUGAGGAGUAAUAAAUCAACGGAUCGCCCACAGAGUCAUCUUUUCGGAAAAGUCGACCUCGCCUUAAUCUAAGAUAUAUGAUGAGAUAUAUAAACGUUUAUCUCAGGCAAGUGCAGUUUGUCACAAGAUCCAACUCUAUAAAACCAGUCAGCUUCGGGAUCGUUUCCUUGAAACUCCUGAUGAAAUAAGCUACGAUAUACCUAUCUACAGAUUUCCCCGAGAUUCAGCUUUCCAAAGAAGCCGACCUUGCCUCGAUCCGA
Arabidopsis thaliana (thale cress) is the source of this 494-nucleotide long non-coding RNA. RefSeq annotates it as other RNA. The transcript has a single exon. NCBI's taxonomy places the organism in Eukaryota, Viridiplantae, Streptophyta, Magnoliopsida, Brassicales, Brassicaceae. The record is from RefSeq.